This 1842-nucleotide ribosomal RNA is filed under the name Triticum aestivum (bread wheat). RNAcentral describes it as "partial small subunit ribosomal RNA". Lineage: Eukaryota; Viridiplantae; Streptophyta; Magnoliopsida; Poales; Poaceae. The record is from RNAcentral.
AUGACGCUGCGGGAGAAGGCGGGGCAGAUGGCCCAGAUCGAGCUCCUGCUGGGCCGCAUGACGCUGCGGGAGAAGGCGGGGCAGAUGGCCCAGAUCGAGCUCUCCGUGGCGUCGCCCCGCGCCCUCGUGGAGCUCGGCGUCGGCAGCCUCCUCAACGGCGGCGGCAGGCCGCCCUUCGACGGCGCCUCCGCGUCCGACUGGGCCGGCGUGGUCGACGGCAUGCAGCGCCUCGCCCUCUCGUCCCGCCUCGCCGUCCCAUCAUCUACGGCAUCGACGCCGUCCACGGCAACAACAACGUCAUCGGCGUCACCAUCUUCCCCCACAACGUCGGCCUCGGAGCCUCCAGGGAUCCCGAGCUUGUGCGGAAGAUCGGCGAGGCGACGGCGCUCGAGGUUCGCGCCACCGGCAUGCACUGGACCUUCGCCCCCUGCGUCGCUGUUUGUAGGGAUUCGAGGUGGGGGAGAUGCUACGAGAGCUACAGCGAGGACCCAGACAUCGUGCGCUCCUUCACCACCAUCGUCACCGGUCUGCAGGGCCAGCCACCGGCAGACCACCCUCAUGGCUACCCGUUUCUUCAUUCGGUUAGAAAUGGGUCCCUCCCUUGUGAUACGAAGGGAGAAUGUGCUUGCGUGUGCCAAGCAUUACGUAGGGGAUGGUGGCACUCACAAGGGGGUCAAUGAAGGGAACACCAUUUGCUCUCAAGACGAUUUGGAAAGGAUCCACAUGAAACCUUACCCUGAUUGUAUAAGUCAAGGGGUGGCAACGAUCAUGGCAUCCUUCUCUCAAUGGAAUGGGGAGCCAUUACAUGCCAGCCACCAUUUGCUCACGGAAGUUUUAAAGGACAAGUUAAGCUUCCAGGGUUUUGUGGUGUCGGACUGGGAAGGUAUUGACCAUCUUUGCGAGCCUCGAGGGUCUGAUUAUCGACACUGCAUUGCACAAGCAGUUAAUGCUGGAAUGGAUAUGGUUAUGAUACCUUUCAGAUUUGAGAAAUUCUUGGAAGAUCUUGUGUUCUUGGUGGUGGAGACGGGGGAGAUACCUUUGUCACGGAUCGAUGACGCCGUUGAGCGGAUUCUAAGAGUUAAGUUCGUAUCUGGAGUUUUUGAGCAUCCAUUUUCAGAUCCAGCUCUACUCGAUGUAAUUGGUUGCAAGGAGCAUCGUCUGCUAGCACGUGAGGCUGUUCGAAAGUCUUUGGUACUUCUGAAAAAUGGCAAGAAUCGGAAGGAACCAUUCCUUCCCUUAGCCAAAAAUGCAAAAAGAAUACUCAUCGCAGGGACACAUGCUGACAAUAUUGGAUACCAGUGCGGUGGGUGGACAAUAUCUUGGCAUGGUGAUAGUGGAAAGAUUACUCCUGGUACAAACAUAUUAGAGGCCAUACAACAAUCUGUGGAAGUGGAAACUGAAGUUGUGUAUGAUGAAUGCCCAAUAGAUGCUACCAUUGAAGCAGGCAAAUUUUCCUAUGCAGUUGUUGUAGUUGGUGAGGUACCCUAUGCAGAAAGCUUGGGGGAUAGAACCGACCUUAGUAUUCCAUUCAAUGGUUCCGAUCUUAUUACUCGUGUUGCCAGUAAAGUCCCUACCCUAGUGAUUGUUAUUUCUGGAAGGCCCUUGGUUAUUGAGCCGCAAGUACUUGAGAAAGUAGAUGCUCUAGUUGCCACUUGGCUGCCUGGAAGUGAGGGCAUGGGAGUUGCUGAUUGCCUCUUCGGAGACCAUGAUUUUGUGGGCACGUUGCCUGUAACUUGGUUUAGAUAUGAUGAGCAGCCGCCUAUAAAUAUUGGAGGUGCUAACUAUGAUCCAUUAUUUCCUUUUGGAUAUGGGCUGAAAUGUUCAAAAGCCAUUGAGAUUUAG